This 433-nucleotide ribosomal RNA is filed under the name uncultured bacterium. RNAcentral describes it as "partial 16S ribosomal RNA". It matches the Rfam family "Bacterial small subunit ribosomal RNA", at positions 29 to 507 of the family's 1533-position model. The record is from RNAcentral.
AACGAACGCUGGCGGCAUGCCUAACACAUGCAAGUCGAACGAGACCUUCGGGUCUAGCGGCGCACGGGUGCGUAACGCGUGGGAACCUGCCCUUAGGUUCGGAAUAACUCCCCGAAAGGGGUGCUAAUACCGGAUAAUGUCUUCGGACCAAAGAUUUAUCGCCUUUGGAUGGGCCCGCGUUGGAUUAGCUAGUUGGUAGGGUAAAAGCCUACCAAGGCGACGAUCCAUAGCUGGUCUGAGAGGAUGAUCAGCCACACUGGGACUGAGACACGGCCCAGACUCCUACGGGAGGCAGCAGUGGGGAAUAUUGGACAAUGGGCGAAAGCCUGAUCCAGCAAUGCCGCGUGAGUGAUGAAGGCCUUAGGGUUGUAAAGCUCUUUUACCCGGGAUGAUAAUGGCAGUACCGGGAGAAUAAGCUCCGGCUAACUCCGUG